This 484-nucleotide ribosomal RNA is filed under the name uncultured Gaetbulibacter sp. Its description in RNAcentral is "bacterial SSU rRNA". It matches the Rfam family "Bacterial small subunit ribosomal RNA", at positions 30 to 506 of the family's 1533-position model. The record is from RNAcentral. Lineage: Bacteria; Pseudomonadati; Bacteroidota; Flavobacteriia; Flavobacteriales; Flavobacteriaceae.
UUGAACGCUGGCGGCAGGCCUAACACAUGCAAGUCGAGCGGCAGCGGGAAGUAGCUUGCUACUUUGCCGGCGAGCGGCGGACGGGUGAGUAACGCGUAUACAAUCUGCCUUGUACUGAGGGAUAGCCCAGAGAAAUUUGGAUUAAUACCUCAUAGUAUGUUGAGAUCGCAUGGUUUUAACAUUAAAGGUUACGGUACAAGAUGAGUAUGCGUCCUAUUAGCUAGAUGGAGUGGUAACGGCACCCCAUGGCGACGAUAGGUAGGGGGCCUGAGAGGGUUAUCCCCCACACUGGUACUGAGACACGGACCAGACUCCUACGGGAGGCAGCAGUGAGGAAUAUUGGACAACGGGCGCAAGCCUGAUCCAGCCAUGCCGCGUGCAGGAUGACUGCCCUAUGGGUUGUAAACUGCUUUUAUACAGGAAGAAUAAGCUCUACGUGUAGAGUGAUGACGGUACUGUAAGAAUAAGGAUCGGCUAACUCCGU